UACGGAGGGGGCAAGCGUUGUUCGGAAUUACUGGGCGUAAAGGGCGCGUAGGCGGCCUGCUAAGUCGAACGUGAAAUCCCCGGGCUCAACCCGGGAACUGCGUCCGAUACUGGCAGGCUUGAAUUCGGGAGAGGGAUGCGGAAUUCCAGGUGUAGCGGUGAAAUGCGUAGAUAUCUGGAGGAACACCGGUGGCGAAGGCGGCAUCCUGGACCGAAAUUGACGCUGAGGCGCGAAAGCCAGGGGAGCAAACGGG
Molecule: ribosomal RNA, 253 nt
Filed under: uncultured bacterium
Lineage: Bacteria
Description: partial 16S ribosomal RNA
Rfam family: Bacterial small subunit ribosomal RNA
Source: RNAcentral